This 1341-nucleotide ribosomal RNA is filed under the name Prophantis adusta. RNAcentral's name for it is "16S ribosomal RNA". The record is from RNAcentral. Lineage: Eukaryota; Metazoa; Arthropoda; Insecta; Lepidoptera; Crambidae.
AAUUUUACAAUUAAUAAUUUUAUAAAUAAUAAAAAUAAUUUUAAUAAUAAAAUUGGGGGGUUUUAGUAUUAAUAAAAAAAAAAUUAUAAAAUUUAUAGUGAAUUAGUAUUGUAAAAGAAUUUUUAAAUAAUUAUGAAAAAUAAAAUUUUUAAAAAGUAAAUUUAAUUUAUUGUAUCUUGUGUAUCAGAGUUUAUUAAUUAUUUUAAUAAAAUAUAUUAUUUCUCGAAUUUAAAAGAGAUAAUUAAUUAAUAAAGUUAUUAUUGCAUAAAUAUUUUUAAUAAUUAAUUGGAAAUGAAAUGUUAAUCGUUUUUAAAUAUAUCUAGUUUUUUUAGAAAAAAAUUUAAUUUUUUUUUUUUUUUAUAAAAAAUUAAUUAAUUAAUUUUUUAUAAAAAAAAUAAAAUAUUUUAAGGGAUAAGCUUUAAAUUAAAUUUUUAUAAAUUAAAUUAAUUUUAAUUAAAAUUUUUAAAAUUUAUAUUGUUUAUAAUUUUUAAUUUGUUAUAAAUUAAUUUUAAUUAAAUUAAAAUUUUUUAAUAAUUUAAUUUUUUAUAAAAAAAUAUUUUUUAAUUUAAUAAAAUUAAUUAUAAUGAUAAAAUUAGUAUUUAUUAAUAAAAUUAUGUUAUUUUUAUAUUUUUAUUUAAUUUAAAAGAAUUCGGCAAAAUUUUAUAUUCACUUGUUUAUCAAAAACAUGUCUUUUUGAAAAUAAUUUAAAGUCUAAUCUGCCCACUGAUAUAAUAUUAAAGGGCUGCAGUAUAUUGACUGUACAAAGGUAGCAUAAUCAAUAGUCUCUUAAUUGGUGACUUGUAUGAAAGAUUGGAUGAAAUAUAAACUGUUUCUAAUUUAUUUAAAGAAAUUAAUUUUUAAAUUAAAAAGUUUAAAUAAAAUUAAAAGACGAGAAGACCCUAUAGAGUUUAAUAAAAAUAUUUUUUAAAAUUUUUUAUUAAUUUAAAAAUUAAAAUAAAUUAAUUUAUUUUGUUGGGGUGAUAAAAAAAUAAAAAUAACUUUUUAUAAUUUAGUUAACAUAAAUAAAUGAAUUUUUGAUCCAAUUAUUUUGAUUAGAAGAAAAAAUUACCUUAGGGAUAACAGCGUAAUUUUUUUUUUUAGUUCAUAUAAGAAAAAAAGUUUGCGACCUCGAUGUUGGAUUAAGAUAAAAUUUAUAUGCAAAAGUUUAAAAUUUUGAUCUGUUCGAUCAUUAAAAUCUUACAUGAUCUGAGUUCAAACCGGUGUGAGCCAGGUUGGUUUCUAUCUUUAAUAAAAUAAAAUAUUUUAGUACGAAAGGAAUAAAUAUUUGAAUUAAAUUUAUUGUUAAGAAUUUUAUUAAUUUUUUUUUUAUAAAACUUAAAA